CAAUACUCACUAAGUCUCCCGCAUAUUUACCCGGUCACUGAAGAGCGGAUCUAUAGACUAUGGGGACCGCCGAAACUUCUUUUUCGAGUGUUUUGGUGUCAUUGGCUGUUUACUCAAAAAUGUUAGACAAUUAACCUUGAGAGUGAACUGAGGUGAACUUCUUUUCCCAAGCAUCCAACGGGUCAUUGGCUUCGAGAUGGGACCAAGAUGGUUAUAAC
Non-coding RNA from Caenorhabditis elegans, 218 nucleotides. NCBI's taxonomy places the organism in Eukaryota, Metazoa, Nematoda, Chromadorea, Rhabditida, Rhabditidae. The record is from Ensembl.